RNAcentral lists this ribosomal RNA (828 nucleotides) under uncultured bacterium. RNAcentral describes it as "bacterial SSU rRNA". It matches the Rfam family "Bacterial small subunit ribosomal RNA", at positions 532 to 1361 of the family's 1533-position model. The record is from RNAcentral.
AUCCAAGCGUUAUCCGGAAUCAUUGGGUUUAAAGGGUCCGUAGGCGGGCAGUUAAGUCAGUGGUGAAAGUCUUCCGCUCAACGGGAGAACUGCCAUUGAUACUGAUUGUCUUGAGUUAUUAUGAAGUGGUUAGAAUGAGUAGUGUAGCGGUGAAAUGCAUAGAUAUUACUCAGAAUACCGAUUGCGAAGGCAGAUCACUAAUAAUAUACUGACGCUGAUGGACGAAAGCGUAGGUAGCGGACAGGAUUAGAUACCCUGGUAGUCUACGCCGUAAACGAUGGUUACUAGCUGUUCGGCCCGAUUAAGGGCUGAGUGGUUAAGCGAAAGUGAUAAGUAACCCACCUGGGGAGUACGUUCGCAAGAAUGAAACUCAAAGGAAUUGACGGGGGCCCGCGCAAGCGGUGGAGCAUGUGGUUUAAUUCGAUGAUACGCGAGGAACCUUACCAGGGCUUAAAUGUAGUCUGACAGGAGUGGAAACACUUUUUUCUUCGGACAGAUUACAAGGUGCUGCAUGGUUGUCGUCAGCUCGUGCCGUGAGGUGUCAGGUUAAGUCCUAUAACGAGCGCAACCCCUGUGGUUAGUUGCCAGCGAGUAAUGUCGGGAACUCUAGCCAGACUGCCGGUGCAAACCGUGAGGAAGGUGGGGAUGACGUCAAAUCAUCACGGCCCUUACGUCCUGGGCCACACACGUGCUACAAUGGUAGGGACAGAGAGCAGCCACUUCGCGAGAAGGAGCGAAUCUACAAACCCUAUCACAGUUCGGAUCGCAGUCUGCAACUCGACUGCGUGAAGCUGGAAUCGCUAGUAAUCGCAUAUCAGCCAUGAUGCG